Oncorhynchus tshawytscha (Chinook salmon) is the source of this 1258-nucleotide long non-coding RNA. RefSeq lists it as uncharacterized. Lineage: Eukaryota; Metazoa; Chordata; Actinopteri; Salmoniformes; Salmonidae. The record is from RefSeq and is a predicted model, not a curated record. The transcript has 4 exons.
GAGAUGUACUCUCUGUACUAGACAUGUGAGGUGUACUCUCUAUCCUAGAUGUGAGGUGUACUCUGUAUCCUAGACAUGUGAGGUGUACUUUCUAUGCUAGACCAUGUGAAAAGUACUCUCCAUGGGCAGAUUGGCAAAUGCCAGAUGGGCAGGUCCAUGUUUUUGUUCGGGGAGUAUGUGUAUUUUAAUUGUUUUAUCAACAUUUAUUCGAUUCUGAUUCUCAGUCUCUUCAGCCUGCUAGUGGGUCUUAGUUUAUGAGCUGUAGUAACGAAUGACUCUGGUGUCGGAUUACAUUACAUAGCCACUGCCACUGGAGGCGGGAAAGUCCCACCAAUUUCCCACUUAUUUCAUUUGCUGAAAGGCCUGUCACUUCUCUGCAGCAAGAUAUGCAUACUGUCAAACGUAGCACAACGCUGGAAAUCUAUCCACAUCAACUAGUGCCAGCAUCGUUCUAUGACAAACACAGAAGGUUUUAUAUUGAAUUCAAUAGAACAGAGAAAGAGAGGGAGAGAGAGAGAGAGACGGUCAGUUCGUUAAUGUAGCCAUUGGCUGUAUUAUACAACCAAAACAUUAAGGAACUGGCCGGCUCUCUCUUCUCUCUCUUUUUUAUUAUAUUUUCAUUAUAUGUAGCCUAAUAUUUAAACACUUAGCUAAGUGGGCAGGGGGGAACACAUAACAUGCACUAAUUUGAAAUACACUCACUGGCCAGUCUAAUACCGGGUCGGAUCCCCCUUUGUCUCCAGAACAACCUGAAUUCUUCAGGGUAUUCUACAAGGUGUCGGAAAAGUUCCACAGGGAUGUUGGUCCAUGCUGACGUGAUGGCAUCACACAGUUGCUGCAGAUUGGAUGGUGGUACUGUCUGAAUUGACAGAAGACGGUGGUGGCCGUGGCAGUGUGCUGACCGACCAGCAGGAGUGGGCAGUGGUGGAAAUGGUGUGUGCCAGGAAUGACUUAUGGCUGUGAUGACACCUUUGCCAAUGUGGCAUCCAUCAGCCUACCAACAUUUGCUACUUUUUGAAGAGGCACCAGCUAUCUAUAAAACACUUUUAAUUGGUGCCCUUUGAAAGAAACAAUGACCGGGUGAAACAACUGCUGGCUGAGUAAUUUCAGAGGGUGAUGGUGUUUGAUGCUGCUGUGACCCAUCAUAAGAAUAUAUUUGUUGAUGAAGUGGUCGUCAUAUGGAGGAGACCAAGGUGCAGCGUGGACACCUAAGAUCAUCAAGGACAACAACCACCUGAGCCACUGCCUGUACACCCCG